Molecule: ribosomal RNA, 245 nt
Filed under: uncultured Syntrophothermus sp.
Lineage: Bacteria; Bacillati; Bacillota; Clostridia; Eubacteriales; Syntrophomonadaceae
Description: partial 16S ribosomal RNA
Rfam family: Bacterial small subunit ribosomal RNA
Source: RNAcentral
GACGUAGGGGGCGAGCGUUGUCCGGAAUUACUGGGCGUAAAGAGCGUGUAGGCGGGUGAUUAAGUCAGGCGUGAAAGACCGGGGCUCAACUCCGGGGUGGCGCUUGAAACUGGUCAUCUUGAGGGCAGGAGAGGGAAGUGGAAUUCCUGGUGUAGCGGUGAAAUGCGUAGAUAUCAGGAGGAACACCAGUGGCGAAGGCGGCUUCCUGGACUGACCCUGACGCUGAGACGCGAAAGCGUGGGGAG